GAUCCUGGCUCAGAGUGAACGCUGGCGGCAGGCCUAACACAUGCAAGUCGAGCGGCAGCGCGUCCGACCACCCUCGGGUGGUCGGAUGGCGGCGAGCGGCGGACGGGUGAGGAAUGCAUCGGAAUCUGCCUCGUUGUGGGGGAUAACGUAGGGAAACUUACGCUAAUACCGCAUACGACCUACGGGUGAAAGUGGGGGACCUUCGGGCCUCACGCGAUGAGAUGAGCCGAUGCCGGAUUAGCUAGUUGGCGGGGUAAAGGCCCACCAAGGCGACGAUCCGUAGCUGGUCUGAGAGGAUGAUCAGCCACACUGGAACUGAGACACGGUCCAGACUCCUACGGGAGGCAGCAGUGGGGAAUAUUGGACAAUGGGGGCAACCCUGAUCCAGCCAUGCCGCGUGUGUGAAGAAGGCCUUCGGGUUGUAAAGCACUUUUGUUGGGGAAGAAACCGGCCGGGUUAAUACCCUGGUUGAAUGACGGUACCCAAAGAAUAAGCACCGGCUAACUUCGUG
Molecule: ribosomal RNA, 511 nt
Filed under: uncultured bacterium
Lineage: Bacteria
Description: bacterial SSU rRNA
Rfam family: Bacterial small subunit ribosomal RNA
Source: RNAcentral